GAGCGAUCAAGUGCCUUAAGAGCAUUCGGUGGAUGCCUUGGCGCUGAGAGGCGAUGAAGGACGUGGUACGCUGCGAUAAGCCUUGGGGAGCUGCGAACGAGCUUUGAUCCAGGGAUUUCCGAAUGGGGAAACCCACCUUCGACCUUCCGUAUGGCAGUUGCAGAUCAGCCUGGGCCUCGAGCCCGACGGGACACACAUCCCGGGAUGGUCUUCUGCGCCUGCCAUACGGUUGGUCAGAUGAAGGUAUCAGAUCCUGAAUCCAUAGGGGUUUGAAGCGAACCCGGGGAACUGAAACAUCUCAGUACCCGGAGGAAAGGACAUCAACGAGACUCCGUCAGUAGUGGCGAGCGAACGCGGAUCAGGCCAGUGCCUGUGUUGAGUUUACCGGAACGGUCUGGAAAGGCCGGCGAUAUGGGUGACAGCCCCGUACGGGACGGACGAUACACAGGACUCGAGUAGGGCGGGACACGUGAAAUCCUGUCUGAACAUGGGGGGACCACCCUCCAAGCCUAAGUACUCCUCAGCGACCGAUAGUGAACCAGUACCGUGAGGGAAAGGUGAAAAGCACCCCGACGAGGGGAGUGAAACAGCACCUGAAACCGGAUGCUUACAAACAGUGGGAGCUCAAGGUUCGUCCUGGGUGACCGCGUACCUUUUGUAUAAUGGGUCAGCGACUUAGAGUUACGAGCGAGCUUAAGCCGAUAGGUGGAGGCGCAGCGAAAGCGAGUCUGAACAGGGCGUUCAGUUCGUGGCUUUAGACCCGAAACCGAGUGAUCUAGCCAUGUGCAGGAUGAAGGUGGGGUAACACCCACUGGAGGUCCGAACCAGUGCCCGUUGAAAAGGUCUUGGAUGACGUGUGGCUAGGGGUGAAAGGCCAAUCAAACUCGGAAAUAGCUGGUUCUCCGCGAAAGCUAUUUAGGUAGCGCCUCGAGUGAAUACCUCACGGGGUAGAGCACUGGAUGGGCUAGGGCCGCCCACAGCGGUACCAAACCCAACCAAACUCCGAAUACGCAAGAGUACUGUUCGGGAGACACACGGCGGGUGCUAACGUCCGUCGUGGAGAGGGAAACAACCCUGACCGACAGCUAAGGCCCCCAAUUCGUGGCUAAGUGGGAAAGGAUGUGGGACUCCCAAAACAACCAGGAGGUUGGCUUAGAAGCAGCCAUCCUUUAAAGAAAGCGUAACAGCUCACUGGUCUAAAUAAGGGGUCCUGCGCCGAAAAUGUAACGGGGCUCAAGCCACGAGCCGAAGCUUCGGAUUCAUUCCUUCGGGGAUGAGUGGUAGCGGAGCGUUCCCUAGGCCU
Molecule: ribosomal RNA, 1303 nt
Filed under: Microcystis wesenbergii Mw_MB_S_20031200_S109D
Lineage: Bacteria; Bacillati; Cyanobacteriota; Cyanophyceae; Chroococcales; Microcystaceae
Description: partial 23S ribosomal RNA
Rfam family: Bacterial large subunit ribosomal RNA
Source: RNAcentral